This 248-nucleotide ribosomal RNA is filed under the name uncultured bacterium. RNAcentral describes it as "partial 16S ribosomal RNA". It matches the Rfam family "Bacterial small subunit ribosomal RNA", at positions 108 to 353 of the family's 1533-position model. The record is from RNAcentral.
GAGUAACACGUAUCCAACCUGCCGUCUACUCUUGGACAGCCUUCUGAAAGGAAGAUUAAUACAAGAUGGCAUCAUGAGUCCGCAUGUUCACAUGAUUAAAGGUAUUCCGGUAGACGAUGGGGAUGCGUUCCAUUAGAUAGUAGGCGGGGUAACGGCCCACCUAGUCUUCGAUGGAUAGGGGUUCUGAGAGGAAGGCCCCCCCACAUUGGAACUGAGACACGGUCCAAACUCCUACGGGAGGCAGCAUG